This is a non-coding RNA of Taeniopygia guttata (zebra finch), 2340 nucleotides long. NCBI's taxonomy places the organism in Eukaryota, Metazoa, Chordata, Aves, Passeriformes, Estrildidae. The record is from RefSeq and is a predicted model, not a curated record.
AUAGAAUACAGUUCUUAAUAGAGACAGUCUUAGGAGCUAAUAAUCUGAGCUGAGAUCCAGGCCACUUUUCUAAUGUGUUUUUUCUGUAGAUUGACAGUAAGGAAGGAGUUUGCGAUUUACCUAAUAUAGAUAUUUCAAAAAUUAAUGCUCAUAGAAAGCAUUAAAAAUUAUUCUCAGAAGUGUUUCCACCAGAAAGUAUUAUCUUUUGAAUUUGGUUGCCAAAUUCUACAGUAAAGGAACAUGACAAAUUAAGGUGAAGUAUUUCACCUUCAAUGGAGAGCAGACUGUUGGCUGCAGCAUACUGCAUGAAAGAUAACAAAUGAACCAAUACCUAGUUAAGUUGCUCCGACCUUUUGCUCAGACCUUUCCUGGAACAUAAUGGCAGGAGAGACAAUAAAAGGCUAACACGGUUGAUUAGCAGUUGCCAAGAAAUGUCUGGUCAGUAGGUCAUGGCAGAGAUUUUUUUUUCCUCUCUGUCUAAUGAUUAAAUAAUCCUGGCACACUCUUCUCUGACACUAGCUGAGUAUUUAUUCCCAGAGUGUGAAAUAUUCAAGUGUCUGCGGAGUUCAGCUUGGCGCAGGCAGCUAAGAUAAUAUAUAUGCACAAAGGAUAUAUUUUCUGAACAAAACACAAUGUAUCUCCUCACUGGCAUAGGCUCAACAUUCCUUAUACGAUUCCUAUGAACAUAAUUUCAAAAUGCUUUUAAAAGCAGCCUUUAUUGCAGUGAACCAUUUGCUUAUACAUUCAUACUGAAUGGACUGGUCCACUCUACUAGUAAACUGUGCAGGUGAUAAGCCUUAGUCCGUUAUUUAAAAGAGAGAAAAACAUUCACAUGUAUAACAAAGGACCACCCAUUAUUACAAUGAUCUUUCAAACACUGUUCUAUUGCUGAGCAAAAUAUCUGAUGAGCAGGCUAAUUUUCUUGUAUAAAUACCUACAGAGGAAGCUAUAGCCUCUAAAAUUCACUCCUAAUAAAGUAUUUCAAAUACCUCUACCACUGGCAAAGGUGGAGAUCUCUGUUCCCUCACCACUUAACAGACUGCAUUCUGCUACCAUCGCCAAAGGAUUGUCUGCACAAUCCAUAUAUUUUUCCACUGCAAAAUAUCAGCAACAUCAUAGCUACCACUUUGGGACAUAAAAGCAUAUCAACUUUUCAAACAACUGUAGGAGGGCUUAAAGAGCUCAUGUGAUCAUAUUGUCAGCAUGGCUCAUCACACCUUUUCCUCUGCAUUAGCAUCUUCAUAAUGAUUUAGGAGAAAUAUUGCAAGUAUACAUUAUUUACCUUUGUAUUUUAAAAGUGGAAUUUUUUUUCUCAUUAUUUUCAUAGGGUUUUCUGAAGAUUCAGAGAAUCAUAGGAAAUUCCUUAGAUUCUGAGUUUUUUUCUGUGCUGGCCCUAUUUGUGCAAAAGCUUACCAUGAUAAUGGAGGCAGUUUAGAUCAGUUUGUCCACUGUCCAGCCUCAGAGCCACCUCAGACCAAGGGCACAGAUGAGUACUUGAUGUAAAGAGGUUGACAGGGAGACAAAAAUUAACCCCGUCCUAAAGUCCAGCUUUUCCUCACAGACAGCCAACACUGACAAGGGCCUGCCUGAUGCAGCUGCUACUGAGGUCACACAAUCACAGAAUUGCUGAAUGGUCAGGUUGGAAGGGACGACGCUGGGUCAUCAGAUCCAGCAUCUCUGAUCACUUACAUUGUACAGCCUUUUGUAGUCAAGUUGCCAUUCCCAUCUCACUGAUUGUUAUGUUUUAGGGACUUGGCAUCACAGUUUGACUUUCUGUGGCUCUGCAAAUGCCAGAAGAACCUGCAGUCAAGGAUUUCAAGACAUGUCUUGGGAAAACUGUCUCUGAUUCGUCACUGCUUAGGUUUCUUCAUGAAACACAAAAUCAUGUCCAAUAAGAAGGUUCAUUAUAACUAGUACACAUGGUAAUUUCCAUGUAAUGACUUCUCAGUGGCAUAUGCCAAGAAGAGCAAUUUGUGCCCUUAGUGUCCUUCUAUUACCUUCUGUUCUGUUGGGGUUUUUAUGCCAGAUAAAUUUACUUUAGGAUUUUAUUGUUUUCACUACUGCAUACAUACCUAAUGUACAGUUAAUCAAAAGCUGCAUUUAUAGGCACUUUAAAAGCACAGCUGAAACCUCUCCUAUAGUGUUCCUGAUGCAGACCUCAUACUACUUAGCUUCAGAAAUACAAAAAUCAAUGUGUAAGGACUUCCAGCAAUAUUUCUCCUUUACUGAACUAGUUCUUAAUUCAGACACCACUUUCUUAACUGAGGCAAUUGUUUCACAUAAUAGAAAUAAAUACUUUUCCAAAUUCUUUUUCACAAAUAAAAUUUAAUUUUACUGUCA